UGACAGAUAUGUCUUCCAGAGUUUGCGA
RNAcentral lists this small RNA (28 nucleotides) under Bombyx mori (domestic silkworm). RNAcentral's name for it is "ovarian small RNA-31384". The record is from RNAcentral. Lineage: Eukaryota; Metazoa; Arthropoda; Insecta; Lepidoptera; Bombycidae.